UAUCUCUGUAGAGUCUGCAUAUCAAUAAGCGGAGGAAAAGAAACUAACAAGGAUUCCCCUAGUAACGGCGAGUGAAGCGGGAAGAGCUCAAAUUUGAAAUCUUAAAGGGUUUCCCUUGACGAAUUGUAGUUUAAAGGAAGUGUUUUCUGUUGGAGUUUUCGGUAAAAGUUCUUUGGAAUAGGGACAUCAUAGAGGGUGAGAAUCCCGUAUUUGACCAGUUACUUUCCAGCUGUGUGAUACACUUUCAAAGAGUCGGAUUGUUUGGGAAUGCAGUCCAAAAUAGGGUGGUAAAUUUCAUCUAAAGCUAAAUAUUGGCGAGAGACCGAUAGCGAACAAGUACCGUGAGGGAAAGAUGAAAAGAACUUUGAAAAGAGAGUUAAACAGUACGUGAAAUUGUCAAAAGGGAAGCGUUUGACACCAGUGUUGUUUAGUUGAAAAUCAAUUAAAUAGUUUUCGAUUUAAGUAGUAUUGACCUUAUCAGCUUGCUGCUUUCUUCUCGGAAAUUAUUUAAUGCACUUUUCAGUUAACAAGUCAACAUCAAUUUCUUUUGUUGUAAAAAGGUAAGAGGAAGGUGGCUUGCGCUUCGGCUCAAGUGUUUAUAGCCUUUUACCUCUGCAAUCGGAGAGAUUGAGGUCUGCAGCGUAGAUCCUUCGGGGUUAGAUACAUUUGUGCUAAGCUAUAGCCUUGUAUAGACAACUUGUUGACUAUGCUCAGUCAUGUAGCUUACUCGCUUAUGCUAUUUUACCUACGCUUAGGAUGUUGACGCAUGAGAUAUACGC
This 779-nucleotide ribosomal RNA is filed under the name uncultured Neocallimastigales. RNAcentral describes it as "partial large subunit ribosomal RNA". It matches the Rfam family "Eukaryotic large subunit ribosomal RNA", at positions 24 to 647 of the family's 3401-position model. Lineage: Eukaryota; Fungi; Neocallimastigomycota; Neocallimastigomycetes; Neocallimastigales. The record is from RNAcentral.